RNAcentral lists this ribosomal RNA (491 nucleotides) under uncultured bacterium. RNAcentral describes it as "bacterial SSU rRNA". It matches the Rfam family "Bacterial small subunit ribosomal RNA", at positions 28 to 507 of the family's 1533-position model. The record is from RNAcentral.
GAUGAACGCUAGCUACAGGCUUAACACAUGCAAGUCGAGGGGCAGCAUGAACUUAGCUUGCUAAGUUUGAUGGCGACCGGCGCACGGGUGAGUAACACGUAUCCAACCUUCCGUUUACUCAGGGAUAGCCUUUCGAAAGAAAGAUUAAUACCUGAUAGUAUGGUGAGAUUGCAUGAUAGCACCAUUAAAGAUUUAUUGGUAAACGAUGGGGAUGCGUUCCAUUAGGUAGUAGGCGGGGUAACGGCCCACCUAGCCGACGAUGGAUAGGGGUUCUGAGAGGAAGGUCCCCCACAUUGGAACUGAGACACGGUCCAAACUCCUACGGGAGGCAGCAGUGAGGAAUAUUGGUCAAUGGGCGAGAGCCUGAACUAGCCAAGUAGCGUGAAGGAUGAAGGUCCUACGGAUUGUAAACUUCUUUUAUACGGGAAUAAAGUAUCCUACGUGUAGGAUUUUGUAUGUACCGUAUGAAUAAGCAUCGGCUAAACUCCGUG